CCAAGGGCAUUCACACCCUGAUCCCUGGGACUUACGCAGACGGCCUGGAGAAGGAGUUACGAUUGCAUAUAGAAUCAACGCUGCUGAUCAGCUGACCAUAGAAUCAACGCUGCUGAUCAGCUGACCUUAAGACAGGGAGAUCAACCUAGAUUAUUGGGGGAGGUGGGGUUCAGCGUAGUCAUGGUGGAAACGGCAAGAAGAGCUUCAAGUGAUGCCACAUGAGGCCCCAACUCGCCUCUGCUGUGUGGCAGGGGCUGCAGGCCAAGGGCGUGGGCAGCCCGUAGGAGCCGGAGAAGGCAAGGAAAGCCUUUUCCUGCCCAGCGCCUCCUGAAAGGAACGCAGUCCUGCCACACCUUGAUUUUGCCUCAGUGACUCUCCCGUCAGACUUCUGACCCACAGGGCUGUAAUCCGAUGCAUUUACGGUAAGCCAGAGAAGAGGAUAGAAGAAUCUCUCUACCCCGCUUCUUGGAAAACUCAAGGCUUCAUUCACAUGUGCUGCCCGGAUGCUCCCGAUGAGUGGGCUUUUAUUUUGCUGGCUUCCUGAAUAAGGGCCCCUGAGCUAUGAGAAAUGCAUAGGUGAUGAAAUCCUGGAGCACUUCUCUCCAAGCCAAUCUCUACGGAGAAUGUGGAAAACAGCUCUCAAACUACGUACAACGAUCUCGAGUAGCUCACGCCAUAUACUCUGAGGGACAAAACACCACUGCCUGGUGAGAAUAAGGCCAGGAUGCAGGGUGUUUCGUUCCAUGAAUCCUGGGAGAAUUACAAAGAUGAAAUGAACGGGAAACCUUUCCAGAAACUUAUUUAAAAUGAUGCAUUGAUGUAUUUCGCCAAUUUUAAGAUCCAGUUCUUUCCCAUCUCUGAAAACGGAAGGCAUCUUUAAAAAAUGAUGUCUUACGGGCGGCAGUUGUGACUUAGUGGCCAUUGCUUUAAUUUCCCGUAUGCUUCCUUUUUAUGUACGCCCAAGAGGGAACGUGACGGAAUCUACACCCAAAUAAGGCUAAAAGUCAUUUCGGUGUAAAUGUUAAUUCUGUGAUAAAAAAGCAUCGUAUCAUAGUUUAACUGGCAGCACUUGUCUCUGUUUCCUGCAUAUAUAGGAAUUAAAGUAAAAUAUAUUAUUUAAAAUAGUAUUUGUAAUAUUUAUAAAAUAAAUAUAUUUUAAUUCCAA
This is a long non-coding RNA of Prionailurus viverrinus (fishing cat), 1165 nucleotides long. RefSeq lists it as uncharacterized. The transcript has 2 exons. NCBI's taxonomy places the organism in Eukaryota, Metazoa, Chordata, Mammalia, Carnivora, Felidae. The record is from RefSeq and is a predicted model, not a curated record.